This 429-nucleotide ribosomal RNA is filed under the name Acidobacteriota bacterium. RNAcentral describes it as "Acidobacteria bacterium partial 16S ribosomal RNA". It matches the Rfam family "Bacterial small subunit ribosomal RNA", at positions 355 to 776 of the family's 1533-position model. Lineage: Bacteria; Pseudomonadati; Acidobacteriota. The record is from RNAcentral.
UGGGGAAUUUUGGACAAUGGGGGAAACCCUGAUCCAGCCAUCCCGCGUGUGCGAUGAAGGCCUUCGGGUUGUAAAGCACUUUUGGCAGGAAAGAAACGUCAUGGGUUAAUACCCCGUGAAACUGACGGUACCUGCAGAAUAAGCACCGGCUAACUACGUGCCAGCAGCCGCGGUAAUACGUAGGGUGCAAGCGUUAAUCGGAAUUACUGGGCGUAAAGCGUGCGCAGGCGGUUCGGAAAGAAAGAUGUGAAAUCCCAGAGCUCAACUUUGGAACUGCAUUUUUCACUACCGGUCUAGAGUGGGUCAGGGGGAGGUGGAAUUCCGCGUGUAGCAGUGAAAUGCGUAGAUAUGCGGAGGAACACCGAUGGCGAAGGCAGCCUCCUGGGAUAACACUGACGCUCAUGCACGAAAGCGUGGGGAGCAAACAGG